AGUCUUGCCAGGGUGCUCUCAUUUGCCCUCAGAGGAGGGAGCAGAGGGCAGACUUGCACAGCUGAGCAGCCUCCCUGAAGAGGGAGGCAUGUUUCUCUGAGGCCUUGUGGGCAAAGGAUGGAGGAGAGAAAGCUGAGCUCAAUUAGGAAGGAUGCUAUUCAAAGACGCUCCCCACCUCUGCAUGGAUGGAUGGGAUGGGUGUGUACAUGCGGUGAGUGGAGCUGUGGGCCCAGCAAGCCUCUGCCCGGAGGGGCUGGCUCUCCGGUGAGCACCGAAGGCAGUGAUUCAUCCAGGGAUCAUCAGAGAGAGCCUGCUGGCGAAGGUGGCAUUGUUCUUCCCAAGCUUUGAUGGGGUUACACAAGCUCGUGCCGAUUUGUGGGUAGAAGCCUUCUCACUUUUCCCUUGCCACUUGUCGCCAAAAGGUAGGAAAGAAGACUGUAUAGCACCUGGGUUGACAUGCGCAUGAAAUCCUUUUCCUGCAGCAUCAAGUCUUAUGUAUCCGCAAA
RNAcentral lists this long non-coding RNA (506 nucleotides) under Sus scrofa (pig). Its description in RNAcentral is "lncRNA (ENSSSCG00050014996.1)". Lineage: Eukaryota; Metazoa; Chordata; Mammalia; Artiodactyla; Suidae. The record is from RNAcentral.